This 85-nucleotide transfer RNA is filed under the name Chitinophagaceae bacterium. RNAcentral describes it as "tRNA-Ser". It matches the Rfam family "tRNA". Rfam says of the family: Transfer RNA (tRNA) molecules are approximately 80 nucleotides in length. Their secondary structure includes four short double-helical elements and three loops (D, anti-codon, and T loops). Further hydrogen bonds mediate the characteristic L-shaped molecular structure. tRNAs have two regions of fundamental functional importance: the anti-codon, which is responsible for specific mRNA codon recognition, and the 3' end, to which the tRNAs corresponding amino acid is attached (by aminoacyl-tRNA synthetases). tRNAs cope with the degeneracy of the genetic code in two manners: having more than one tRNA (with a specific anti-codon) for a particular amino acid; and 'wobble' base-pairing, i.e. permitting non-standard base-pairing at the 3rd anti-codon position. The record is from RNAcentral. Lineage: Bacteria; Pseudomonadati; Bacteroidota; Chitinophagia; Chitinophagales; Chitinophagaceae.
GGAGAGAUGGCAGAGUGGUCGAUUGCGGCGGUCUUGAAAACCGUUGUGCCGUGAGGUACCGUGGGUUCGAAUCCUACUCUCUCCG